CUCUGCCAAAGAGCUGCGGCCUGACCUAGUAACUAGAGCUGCUACGGUAUCGUCAUCUAGAGUCCUACUGGAUAUCAACUAGAUAGAGCAGGUCGCAUCGGUAUCCGUCUAACGUUGCUGCUGUAGAACUUGUACUCUAGUACCUAUAUUCUCGGUACUGUACAGCUGAUCAUGAGAGUAUCAUAUCUCGGUCAACUCUAGAGGCUUGCCGUCUCUACAACUUCGUUUGAGACACAACAAAGAAGACGGAUGACUCAUGGGACACAAUCUCGGACUCGUGAUCUCGAGGGAUUUUCUCUCGUCAGACUCAGAGCUAAGACGUUCUUUAGUGGCUAGUGUUA
Molecule: long non-coding RNA, 341 nt
Organism: Corticium candelabrum
Lineage: Eukaryota; Metazoa; Porifera; Homoscleromorpha; Homosclerophorida; Plakinidae
Exons: 2
Source: RefSeq, a predicted model, not a curated record